This 262-nucleotide long non-coding RNA is filed under the name Elaeis guineensis (African oil palm). RNAcentral's name for it is "long non-coding RNA (EGUI_LNC078530)". The record is from RNAcentral. Lineage: Eukaryota; Viridiplantae; Streptophyta; Magnoliopsida; Arecales; Arecaceae.
GGCCCGACCACUGUGGGAGUAGUUGUAGUUGGACCCUGACUGCCAGUCUGCCAGUUGCCGUCCUGCAAUUGUUGGGAGUCAUGGUGAAAACGUUGGCAUGCUGUCUAUUUCCAAAAGGAGGUGAAAACAUCUCGUCUGCCAUAAAUGUUAGUACAGGAUUUGAGGCAUCAUGAUGAUUCCGAGCAAAACAACCCUCGCACAUCCCUUCGGUCUGUGGGGUUGCGUCACGUGGCGACUUGCCGGACGUCGGAUGAAAGCGGAG